UGCUUUGGUCAGUUGCCCUUCCAUAGU
This 27-nucleotide non-coding RNA is filed under the name Mus musculus (house mouse). The record is from RNAcentral. Lineage: Eukaryota; Metazoa; Chordata; Mammalia; Rodentia; Muridae.